Long non-coding RNA from Gossypium arboreum, 1535 nucleotides. RefSeq lists it as uncharacterized. Lineage: Eukaryota; Viridiplantae; Streptophyta; Magnoliopsida; Malvales; Malvaceae. The record is from RefSeq and is a predicted model, not a curated record. The transcript has 5 exons.
GGUAAGCAAUAGCGGCGUUGCAAAAAAUCAUUUUACUUUAAAAAAAAUUGUAUCAUUUUAUCCCCAAAAUUUCCCCCUAAAACCCUUAAUUUUUCCCCCUAAAAUCGGUAUCCUCAAAACACCCUUUAGGUGUUUCUCUCCGCCACCACCGUUUUCAUCAUCAUCGUUCCCCUACUUUUGCUACUUUAAGCUCCCCUUCUUCUCAACCACCCUCAUCAAUAGCAGUAACUCCUCCUCCUCCUACUUCAGCUUGUACAAGUCGACGAUAAAAAAACAAAAAUUUUGAAUUCUUACUGAGCAAGCCAAAAUAGGAGUUCACGCUCUAUGGGAACUGCUAGCUCCCGUCGGCUACCACGUGUCCGUCAAAACCCUAGCCGGAAAGAAACUCGCCAUCUGUGAAAUCUGAAUCCCUAACACUUGUAAUUUUAAAUUGUUUUAACAAAUUAUUUACUUUGUGCGUGUUAUGGCACAUAAUUAUGGAUUAAAAUAAUUGUUAAUUUCUGUUUAUUUCUGUUAAAAUUGUUAUACAAAAACGGUACGUUUUGGGUGGGAUUUUUGUAACUGAAUGACAGCUGUUAAGGCCGUUAUUCCUCCUCCUCUUCUUUUAGCACCUGGUGCAUGCUGAGUUUAAUUUUUUUUAUGCAAUUACAGUAUUAUUCUCUCAACUCUUCCUUCUCUCUUCUCUGCUACUCUCUUCUUCUUUUCCCCCCAAUCUUCCUCCUCUUCUUCUAAAAUUGACCGCUCGCACCAGUGCGUGUGUGUGUUUUGUUUUUGAAGAUGCAAGUAUUUGGAUGGUUCAAUUCAAGAAAGCGAUGCGAGAUGAGAAGGGAGAAAUGAUUCGAAAAGCGCAUUUUUUAGGAGAAUUUGCAAGCUUUUAUAUCUAAAAACUAAUUAAACCUGUUUUCGUCUUCGACGGUGCCACACCUAUUCCCAAGCGCCGCACCAUCAUUGCUCGACGUCGACAGAGAGAAAACGCUCGGGCUAAUAUCCGUAAAACGGCUGAAAAAUUGCUCCUAAAUCAACUAAAGCAAAUGAGACUGAAAGAGUUGGCAAAGAAUCUUGACGGCCAGAGGAAAAUGCAGAAGAAUAAUAAUUAGGAUAAGGAUAUGGAAAUGCUAAUGUUUGGAAGAUCUUUACCGACCUUUUUGACUAUUUUCCAUUAACUGCUUUGGUGGGUAGAACUGAUAUAAGGAAGCGGCUUGAUUCAUCUCUUCAAGAUUUGGAAGAGGAACAACACAACAAGAGAGAAGCGAUAUUGAAGGUGUAGCAGAGGAUUCAAUCUCUUCAAGCUGGAAAAGCUAAGGCUUAGCACUUCUUCAAGUGGAAGGUUAUUUAGUGUUUCAUUCCAUGGUCGUUUAUCUUAGUUGGAACUUGAAUUUGGUGUUAUUGAAACUGGGUUUUGUAGCUACCUUGUAUACUAGCUUCUUUAACCAUGAUUGUUAAUUAUUACGUGUUUUGCAGUUUCUUUUAUAAUUGGCUGAGUUAAUAUAGAUCAGAUGAGCUGUGAGGUAAAUUGCUCAUUUAUUUGAACAUAA